Molecule: ribosomal RNA, 253 nt
Filed under: uncultured bacterium
Lineage: Bacteria
Description: partial 16S ribosomal RNA
Rfam family: Bacterial small subunit ribosomal RNA
Source: RNAcentral
UACAGAGGGUGCGAGCGUUGUUCGGAAUUAUUGGGCGUAAAGGGCUCGUAGGCGGCCAACUAAGUCAGACGUGAAAUCCCUCGGCUUAACCGGGGAACUGCGUCUGAUACUGGUUGGCUUGAAUCCGGGAGAGGGAUGUGGAAUUCCAGGUGUAGCGGUGAAAUGCGUAGAUAUCUGGAGGAACACCGGUGGCGAAGGCGGCAUCCCGGACCGGUAUUGACGCUGAGGAGCGAAAGCCAGGGGAGCAAACGGG